Molecule: long non-coding RNA, 1095 nt
Organism: Saccostrea cuccullata (small rock oyster)
Lineage: Eukaryota; Metazoa; Mollusca; Bivalvia; Ostreida; Ostreidae
Exons: 3
Source: RefSeq, a predicted model, not a curated record
CUGUCGUCAGAAAAAAAGGAUAAGGCAAAUAGUUUUUACAGCCGCCCGACAUUUAAAAUGUUCAAACACAACUCCAUAUUACAUCUGUGUACAGUAGAAGGUCUGAUAUAUAUGUAAAUACAUUUUGUGCCAUUGGAUUGUUAUUAUGUUCUGAUUUUCUGUGCUGCUGAUUAGUUAUUUACUUUCGUGAGAAAUGGAUUAAAUAUAUGAUAUUUACUUUCGUAUGAAGUCUAUUUAAUAUUCAUAAUUGUGUGUAGUCAAAUUAAAAUUUACAUUCAGGAGCUAUCAUUCUUGUUCGACAUCCUUUUCUCAUGUGCCAUCAACGUGAUAUUUAAGUAUAGCGCCGGCUUAAUACUGUUUGUACUUUUUUGUGGAUAUGGCAGCUGUGUUGUCCUCAAUUAUAUCUAAUUUGUAUGGUGUCGAAAUUUAUGCAGUGUUUUACAUUUUCUGCUGUCAAUCAAAUUCUUUCUAUGUGCAAUCACGUGAUAUCUAAUUGAAAUCAUUUGAAAAAAGAUGAAAAGGAUACAAUUUUCCCCGUGAAAGUUGUGCAUGUACAGUACCGACCAGACCCAACCUGACACAAAGCAGUCCCAGAGAAGAUACAUAAAACAUCCAGUGAUGUCCGUUCAUUCGAAAUUUUUUUUCCCACCUCCGAUUGAAAGAUGUACCGCGAGAUUCGAUCGAUGAAAUACAUGUAGGUUAUUCUAUGAAACACAUGGAGGACGGAACAACAUUCAAGAUCAAAUGUCCACUAAACAAUACAAAACAGAAGCAGUUGAGUCAACACGGACCACCAAAACAUCAGAGGUGGGAUCAGGUGCCACUGGUGGAGUGAACAUCCUCUGCUGACCGGUCACACUCACCGUUUGCUCUUUGUCAUGAUCGGGAUAAAUGGGGAAAAUCCUUUUUGGGGGUUUAGUCCCUUUUAAUUAGCCAUCCCACAUUCAAUUUGCUUUUGACGCAUUAUGGUUAUAAAUUUGCUAGUACUGGACAAUUAAUUAAUAAGAUAUAGUUCAAAUACAACAAAAGUUGCAACGUCAAUAUGCUCUUAUCUCAUCAAUAUAUUUCAUUUCCGUAGUUUUUUUUUCUAAAUUU